AUGAAUUUAGUUAAAAAAAUAACAUUAAAUUGUCUAUUUAAAAUUAUUCAAUAAUAAUUCAUA
This 63-nucleotide transfer RNA is filed under the name Neoseiulus womersleyi. Its description in RNAcentral is "tRNA-Asp". The record is from RNAcentral. Lineage: Eukaryota; Metazoa; Arthropoda; Arachnida; Mesostigmata; Phytoseiidae.